RNAcentral lists this ribosomal RNA (670 nucleotides) under Streptococcus mutans. Its description in RNAcentral is "bacterial SSU rRNA". It matches the Rfam family "Bacterial small subunit ribosomal RNA", at positions 401 to 1064 of the family's 1533-position model. Lineage: Bacteria; Bacillati; Bacillota; Bacilli; Lactobacillales; Streptococcaceae. The record is from RNAcentral.
GAGUGGAGAAGGUUUUCGGAUCGUAAAGCUCUGUUGUAAGUCAAGAACGUGUGUGAGAGUGGAAAGUUCACACAGUGACGGUAGCUUACCAGAAAGGGACGGCUAACUACGUGCCAGCAGCCGCGGUAAUACGUAGGUCCCGAGCGUUGUCCGGAUUUAUUGGGCGUAAAGGGAGCGCAGGCGGUCAGGAAAGUCUGGAGUAAAAGGCUAUGGCUCAACCAUAGUGUGCUCUGGAAACUGUCUGACUUGAGUGCAGAAGGGGAGAGUGGAAUUCCAUGUGUAGCGGUGAAAUGCGUAGAUAUAUGGAGGAACACCAGUGGCGAAAGCGGCUCUCUGGUCUGUCACUGACGCUGAGGCUCGAAAGCGUGGGUAGCGAACAGGAUUAGAUACCCUGGUAGUCCACGCCGUAAACGAUGAGUGCUAGGUGUUAGGCCCUUUCCGGGGCUUAGUGCCGGAGCUAACGCAAUAAGCACUCCGCCUGGGGAGUACGACCGCAAGGUUGAAACUCAAAGGAAUUGACGGGGGCCCGCACAAGCGGUGGAGCAUGUGGUUUAAUUCGAAGCAACGCGAAGAACCUUACCAGGUCUUGACAUCCCGAUGCUAUUCUUAGAGAUAGGAAGUUACUUCGGUACACCGGAGACAGGUGGUGCAUGGUGGUCGUCAGCUCGUG